Molecule: long non-coding RNA, 534 nt
Organism: Conger conger (European conger)
Lineage: Eukaryota; Metazoa; Chordata; Actinopteri; Anguilliformes; Congridae
Exons: 3
Source: RefSeq, a predicted model, not a curated record
GUUUUCGGUGGGAAUUGUCCUUCAAACACACCUGUACCUCCGAUGCUACCGUAGCAUGACACACAAUACUGGAGAAGAUGGCAGCCGCCCCCUCAAUCACCUUCCCCCUCAAGCCUUUCGGCUCUGAGAUGGCACCUCCAGUAGACCAUCAACCCUGGGGGCAGCUAAACUACACACACACCGCUCCUUAUUUGUAUUUGUACCUGGAGGGAUCCAAAGACGAGUCGGCAAUGUGACAGAGUAACACCCUCGACGGGAGUGCAAACUCGCCACAAAGCUGAACAUUUUUUCCAUCAGAUAAUAGAUCACACUCUGUUCAGGGAGUUAUCAAGACUAUUUUCCUCCUGGAAACAAAAUACGGUUUCAACAAAGAUUUUGGGCACCCUCAUAUUUCCUACUGUAUGCACACUAAGGAGACGCACCUGUUCCCAUAACAGAGUCUGUUUUUAAACGUAUGCCUGUUUUUAACCAUUUAUUGUCUUUGUUCCAUGUCUGCACUCCAAGUCCACAAGUUAAAAAUGACCUAGCCUCACA